Gossypium raimondii (Peruvian cotton) is the source of this 707-nucleotide long non-coding RNA. RefSeq lists it as uncharacterized. The record is from RefSeq and is a predicted model, not a curated record. NCBI's taxonomy places the organism in Eukaryota, Viridiplantae, Streptophyta, Magnoliopsida, Malvales, Malvaceae. The transcript has 2 exons.
CUAAAAAUAACACACAAAAAAUCAAAAAAUUAGAAAUCCUUAACCCUAAAUCUCUAAUCUUAUCCCUCAAAAUUGGAAAUCCCUAAUCUAAAAUCUCCCCAAAUCCCUACUACUAGUCACACUGUCUGGCGUCCACCAGGUCACCCUCAUUGUUCGACGUUUGUUCGGCACUCACCUUGGAUUUUUCAGAAUGUCCACAGAACCAACAUUUGUUGAGGGUAGUGUUACAUCUCCUAAUUCGAUAGAUUCUGGAAAACCGAUAGGUGAAGCUUUAAGCCAAACAAAGGGGAUUGCUAGAAAAAGAAAAGCUAAAUGUAAUUAUUGUGAAAAGGAAUUUUGUUGUGAUGGAAAAAAAAUUGUAUGGGUCAUUGAAAUAUCAUAUCAGUUCAUGUAAGAAAAUCCUAGUAAUGUUGUUGACACUAACCAAAAACAACUAGUUUUACAUAGUAAGGGAGUUGAAGGGGCGAAAGGGCAUCUUCCAACUUGGAGAUUUGAUCAAGAAGUAUGUAGGAAAGGGUUAGCACAAAUGAUUGUGAUUGAUGAAUUACCUUUCAAAUUUGUUGAAAGUGAAGACUUUAGAAAAUUUAUGUUCAAGGCAUGUCCUAGGUUUCAUAUUCCUUCACGAACUACUAUCACUAAGGAUGUUUAUCAAUUGUAUUUAGAUGAAAGGGCCAAGAUAAAACAACUUUUGAAAAGUUCUUAUUCUA